GACGAACGCUGGCGGCGUGCUUAACACAUGCAAGUCGAACGGAAAGGCCCUGCUUUUGUGGGGUGCUCGAGUGGCGAACGGGUGAGUAACACGUGAGUAACCUGCCCUUGACUUUGGGAUAACUUCAGGAAACUGGGGCUAAUACCGGAUAGGAGCUCCUGCUGCAUGGUGGGGGUUGGAAAGUUUCGGCGGUUGGGGAUGGACUCGCGGCUUAUCAGCUUGUUGGUGGGGUAGUGGCUUACCAAGGCUUUGACGGGUAGCCGGCCUGAGAGGGUGACCGGCCACAUUGGGACUGAGAUACGGCCCAGACUCCUACGGGAGGCAGCAGUGGGGAAUAUUGCACAAUGGGCGGAAGCCUGAUGCAGCAACGCCGCGUGCGGGAUGACGGCCUUCGGGUUGUAAACCGCUUUCGCCUGUGACGAAGCGUGAGUGACGGUAAUGGGUAAAGAAGCACCGGCUAACUACGUGCCAGCAGCCGCGGUGAUACGUAGGGUGCGAGCGUUGUCCGGAUUUAUUGGGCGUAAAGGGCUCGUAGGUGGUUGAUCGCGUCGGAAGUGUAAUCUUGGGGCUUAACCCUGAGCGUGCUUUCGAUACGGGUUGACUUGAGGAAGGUAGGGGAGAAUGGAAUUCCUGGUGGAGCGGUGGAAUGCGCAGAUAUCAGGAGGAACACCAGUGGCGAAGGCGGUUCUCUGGGCCUUUCCUGACGCUGAGGAGCGAAAGCGUGGGGAGCGAACAGGCUUAGAUACCCUGGUAGUCCACGCUGUAAACGGUGGGUACUAGGUGUGGGGUCCAUUCCACGGGUUCCGUGCCGUAGCUAACGCUUUAAGUACCCCGCCUGGGGAGUACGGCCGCAAGGCUAAAACUCAAAGGAAUUGACGGGGCCCCGCACAAGCGGCGGAGCAUGCGGAUUAAUUCGAUGCAACGCGUAGAACCUUACCUGGGUUUGACAUGGAUCGGGGGUGCUCAGAGAUGGGUGUGCCUCUUUUGGGGUCGGUUCACAGGUGGUGCAUGGCUGUCGUCAGCUCGUGUCGUGAGAUGUUGGGUUAAGUCCCGCAACGAGCGCAACCCUUGUUCACUGUUGCCAGCACGUUAUGGUGGGGACUCAGUGGAGACCGCCGGGGUCAACUCGGAGGAAGGUGGGGAUGACGUCAAGUCAUCAUGCCCCUUAUGUCCAGGGCUUCACGCAUGCUACAAUGGCUGGUACAGAGAGUGGCGAGCCUGUGAGGGUGAGCGAAUCUCGGAAAGUCGGUCUCAGUUCGGAUUGGGGUCUGCAACUCGACCUCAUGAAGUCGGAGUCGCAAGUAAUCGCAGAUCAGCAACGCUGCGGUGAAUACGUUCCCGGGGCU
RNAcentral lists this ribosomal RNA (1346 nucleotides) under uncultured bacterium. RNAcentral describes it as "bacterial SSU rRNA". It matches the Rfam family "Bacterial small subunit ribosomal RNA", at positions 28 to 1381 of the family's 1533-position model. The record is from RNAcentral.